Molecule: ribosomal RNA, 2280 nt
Filed under: Triticum aestivum (bread wheat)
Lineage: Eukaryota; Viridiplantae; Streptophyta; Magnoliopsida; Poales; Poaceae
Description: partial small subunit ribosomal RNA
Source: RNAcentral
AUGUCCCGACUCAGUCCCGAGUUAAGGUUGAGGAUACCGACCCAACCAGAUCUCCUAUCCGGUGAGGCAACCCUGUUUAUAUCCGUGCGCGAUUCGCCCUCAACCCUAGAUCCCCAAAUCCCCUCCUCCCCGAGCUGCUUGAUGACUGCAAGCGCAAGUUUGGAGAGGGAGGAGAGAGCCAUAAACAGAAGAAACGGACGUGAGUCAUCAUUGGCUUCAAGUGGGAGUCAUGUCCCAAAAGCCACUAAUUGUAGGAUGAGCAAAGGCAUGAAAGCAAUGUUAAAACUUCAUGCGGUUCAGGCGGCGUACGCUGCUGCUGAGGAGAAACGAUGUGCUCUUGAGGAGGAACAGUUUGGUAGACUUCCUGAUCGAGAUGGGUCAGCCAGUACCUUUGAAGAGAAACAGUUUGGUUAUUUAGUUGGGCAUUGUCAAGAGUACUAUCUAACCUGUGCCAAUAUAACCAGAGAUCUGUCUUCCAUUGUCAUCUCGAUUGCUUUGUUUGAUGGAGAUAAGAUGUUUUUCGCAUGCUCGGGCAUAUGUGUAUCAUACGGGUCAACUCAAUUUCAGCUGACAAGAUUUGAGACUUCGGCGCGUUUGGUUACCGCAUAUAAUGAGAACAUGAACAAAGAUGAUAACUUGAGGAUUGAUGUACGCCUUCCUAGUAAUGCAAUGACAGAAGGGUUUUUGGGACUGUAUGAUCGAGAUAUUGCUAUUGUCACGACGGCGGGCCUCCCAAAUGUUCGUUCCGUAGAACUGGAUCUUCAGGCACAAGCAGUACCUACCUCCCCUGGUUCACGUAUACUAGCUGCAGGGCGUAGUUUCACGUCGGCCAUGCGUGGGUCUAUCUGUAUGGAACAUCCCAGCAGGUGGAUUUCUGAUGAUGGACAGCAUAUCACAGAGGCUGCACUAGGAGGGCCACUAAUAUCAGAUGAUGGAAGAUUUCUUGGCAUGAACCUUGACAAUAAGGAGUCUGAGGCGAACACGGUAUACUCCUUUUUCAUAUCACGGGGGCUGCUUUAUCAACGCUUGAAGCAUUUUCAGAUACUCGAUGGGAUCAUCGGUGCUACUCAGGAUGUUGACUUGGUAUGCUUGCGCCGUCGUGGCAUUGUGCGCAUCCAGGUGGCGGUUCUGAAUUUAAACAUGUUUAAAAAAGAAGAUGGUGUAGGUCCUGCCUCGGUCUCGGCUGGGGUUUAUGUCAAGCUUAACGGGUACAAUCUUCGGUUCGUACUUGAGGAGGACGAUUUCAUACCCGAAGAUGAUUUCAUCUCUCGCAUUUGGGAGCACGAUGAUGACGGUCCAGACCACGGGGCUAACCGAGAUGAUGUUUUGCCUGAUCAAGAUGCGAACAAAAAUGGGAAAAAUUCUGAAAGGGGUGCUGCUCAGUCCAAUACGUCAUCUGCUGGGACCAUUCCAAUGGAGACUGAUAAUUGCUUUGUGAACGCAUCGGACGCUCCUUCGCAGACUGAUGCAGGAGCUGACCUCGAUGUGGACACCACCGUGGCGGCUGGUACUGGAGUUGACCAACAGGGAGAUACUACAUCCAUUACAGGAAAUGAAGCAAUCUUGCCGCUUGAUGCGGCUGCACACCCAGGUGUGGCUGCAUGUGUGCAUGCGCACAGUGGCCUGCAUGCAGUGCUGCCGGCCAUGGUUGAGGGCGCACCGUCAGUAGUGCAGCCAGCCGGUGCUGCAUCUUCUGCGCUCGUGCAGCCGGUCCUGGGUACGGGCGCACCGCCAGCGGGGCAUGUUGACGAUCCUGCUCCGGUCCGCGCGCAAGGUUCCAAGAUGUCACCCGUGGAUGCUUCUUCAGCUCCUGCUCCGGUUGCCGUGGUUCCUCUCGGUCCAUUAGCGGAUUGUCCGAGUGGCUCGGCCCCGGCACCCGUGGCGAUCGUGCCGGUGGGACCUGCGGCACGUCCCUCUUCACCGACCUUAGGGACAGAUCGGAGCUCGCCGAUUUUGCAGCAACCAACACCAACGGCUCGACCGAAGACACCGAUGGGUACUAUGUCUGGAGGGCUGGCUUCGCCGCUUUGGCGUAGUAACCGUCACGCCGUCUCCGCGGAUGGUUCCUCUUCGACAGAUGAACAUUCACUAGCUAAGGCAAUGCAACGACAAGCCUCGAGGAAUUUGGACUCCACGCCAGGUUAUUUUCCGUUGUACGCAAUCGCUUCAUACGUGGUCUAUGCUACAACGAUCGGAGCACCAAUCGCUGUUCAAGGCGGUGUGUACGCGGUUGCAGCAGGUGGCUACGGAGGUUUUUUCCCAACAUGGGUGGCAGCAUAA